Long non-coding RNA from Gambusia affinis (western mosquitofish), 1527 nucleotides. RefSeq lists it as uncharacterized. NCBI's taxonomy places the organism in Eukaryota, Metazoa, Chordata, Actinopteri, Cyprinodontiformes, Poeciliidae. The transcript has 6 exons. The record is from RefSeq and is a predicted model, not a curated record.
ACUGUUGCUAUGGCAGCUUUAUGGCGUUCUACUUAAAAGUUAUGGCGGCAGGGAACAGCAAGGAUUUCAUUCGGAGGCACACCGGGAGCCAUUUAAAAGAUAAUAAUUCUGCUGUUCGGACACAAAUGGAGGAAAAUGAGCAACAAAACCGAGACAGUGCAGCCGACUGGCAACAUAACCGAGUAAUGGCUUUUUCCUCAAGGAACGGCGCUUCAACCCAUAACUUGUUCAGUUGAUGACAUCCUGCUACCAGCUUUCACCAGCAUCUUCAGAGGUUAUUUUUGGGAACUCGGAUUGUUUUAUUGAUGGCAUAAAGGAUCCGUUAAGCCAGUGGGAGUUCUGUGAUUCCUUCAAUGGAGCUGCCAGGUGCUGAGAACGGAGCCAGCGUUCAACCUUUGGCUUCUGCUACUCCUCCUCACUAUGCUCCAAGAGUCCUGGAAAUGGAGCCAGGAGUAAAUCAGAAGGCAAAGAGAAGCAAGGAGGAUGUGAGCAGCAUGUCCACUUCUCCCAGUUGGAAAGACAUCACCCGUGGCGCCAGCUCAAAAAGAAUCCUGCGGGUGAAAGAAAGCGCUGACAUGACAGAUGAUGUAGGAAUUGGCAAGCAGCUGGCACAGUGCAAACAAACAGAGCUCCAGCGUCUCACAUAACUCAGGCAUAUGGAGAAGCUGGUUGCCUACAUGAGCCAGAACAGCUUUGCUCAGCUUUGCUCUCGUCGGACGUCGAAGUGGACAGAUAAAAUAUGAAGCCAUGUUGAUACUUUACGCGUUUAAUCUAUUAAGAUUGUACAAUGGUGAGAAAAAUACAAACCUUGCAGCUUUCAGUCAAUGAGCAGCAAUGGGCAGGUAGCCUCGGCUCCCAGAGACUGCAGCAGCCCCAGGCAGACAAACACCAGGAACCCCACAGAGUGGCCACACAACACAGAUGCAGGUCGACAGCAGAACACAGGGAACAGCAAUCCUUAGGUCAGAGAGGUAGAGAGAAACACAGGGAACCAAAACACCAACCUGUCCCUGCUGUGACGUACCCCAAUGCAGGUGGGACAUUCCUGUGAACCUUGUGCCAUAAAUAAGGAAUCCCCUGAUCUUCCCCAUAACACACCACCAGCCUGAGCUACUAAAGUUAUCCUGUGACAUUGAAUAAAUGAAAGUUUGGAGAAAAAACAGAAUAGAGCUUUGGAGGAACUUCAAAAACAAAAAAAUUGACGGAAGUAAGACAUUUACUGCAACCAAAUCCAGCAACCAUUGUUUUGACUUGGCUGGGCAAAAGCUUCUUUCUACUCCAUUGUUCUGAUCCGACUUCCUUCCCUGUUCUGAUCAAGAAAACGUUCAACUCUUUCAGGACAGGUGUUGUCACAAACUUGACCAACCAAUUAAAAGUAGACUUGAGAAAAUAUAGUUGCGGUUUUUCCACUACAAUCUUUAAACUAUUGUCAUAGAUAAAACGUUGUUUCCUGGCUGGAGCUGAUUCAAAAUUAAAGUUUAAAGCAUAUAUUAAAGGAAAUCGAGUACAAAUAGCAACAAAUUUCCA